This 27-nucleotide non-coding RNA is filed under the name Cricetulus griseus (Chinese hamster). The record is from RNAcentral. Lineage: Eukaryota; Metazoa; Chordata; Mammalia; Rodentia; Cricetidae.
UGUUGCUUGAAGGGACCAAGGGUGGCU